AUUGAACGCUGGCGGCAUGCUUUACACAUGCAAGUCGAACGGUAACAGGCCGCAAGGUGCUGACGAGUGGCGGACGGGUGAGUAAUGCAUCGGAACGUGCCCAGUCGUGGGGGAUAACUACUCGAAAGAGUAGCUAAUACCGCAUACGAUCUAUGGAUGAAAGCGGGGGACCGUAAGGCCUCGCGCGAUUGGAGCGGCCGAUGUCAGAUUAGGUAGUUGGUGGGGUAAAGGCUCACCAAGCCAACGAUCUGUAGCUGGUCUGAGAGGACGACCAGCCACACUGGGACUGAGACACGGCCCAGACGCCUACGGGAGGCAGCAGUGGGGAAUUGUGGACAAUGGGCGCAAGCCUGAUCCAGCAAUGCCGCGUGCAGGAAGAAGGCCUUCGGGUUGUAAACUGCUUUUGUACGGAACGAAACGGCUCUGGUUAAUACCCGGGGCUAAUGACGGUACCGUAAGAAUAAGCACCGGCUAACUACGUG
This 482-nucleotide ribosomal RNA is filed under the name uncultured bacterium. RNAcentral describes it as "partial 16S ribosomal RNA". It matches the Rfam family "Bacterial small subunit ribosomal RNA", at positions 30 to 507 of the family's 1533-position model. The record is from RNAcentral.